This is a long non-coding RNA of Corvus hawaiiensis (hawaiian crow), 2514 nucleotides long. RefSeq lists it as uncharacterized. Lineage: Eukaryota; Metazoa; Chordata; Aves; Passeriformes; Corvidae. The transcript is spliced from 3 exons. The record is from RefSeq and is a predicted model, not a curated record.
GGAUGUGGCCCUUGGGGACAGGCUUUGGGGUGCUGCUGGUGCUGCUGGGGUGGCACUGGGUGAUCCUGGAGGGCUCUGCCAGCCUUGAUUCUUCUGGGAUAUUUAGUGGAGCAAUUUCUGCCUCAAGACAAUGUGGAAUUAUGGUCAGGGUUAAGAUACCAGGACCUUAAAAUCACUCCUGCCCCUCUCCAGUCUCUCCCUUUCCCUUCCCUCCUUUUUUGCUCCAUUUCCCAUUCCCUGCUGCCUCCCUCACAUAGAACAUGAGCAGAUGUUUUUGCUGAGGAAUCUGAAGCUGAGAAAAGCUGGGUUAUUUUUCUUUUUCUAUUCACAUCUCAGCUCUGGAGAAUUAAAUCUGUGGAUUCUUCUGAAGGUCCCUUGUUUCACAUCUCUCUCUGACACAAAAAUUCCCAUUUCAAUGAUUUCCAGACACAGGAGGAGCACAGCACAGAAUACCUGGAAGCACAGGCAGGACAUGACCAAAUGCCUUUAAAAUCCCACGUGCUGGAAUGAGGCAGGAGUGAGGAUUCAUGGAGCCACGGAGGCGCCCGGACAAGCCCGGAUGAGCCCCAGCCUCGAGCAUUUCCCAGCCCCACUUUCCUCCCAGCUUGUUUUCCAUGCUGCCAGCCCCGGGACAUACAAGGUGGAUCGUGUCUCCAAGUGACAUUUCCGGUUGAGCCAGGGCUGCUGGCCCGGAGGAAGUGGGAUGCAGGAAUGUCUGGAUGUGACACUGCUCACGUGAGGAGCCCUCACCGGUCAUUGGUCAUCGGUCACCAGGGACAGCGGCCCCAGGGCCUCGGCCACAGCUUUUCCAGCAUUUUUUUCCAGCAUGAUUGGCUCUGAAUGCACUCAGCUUCCUCCCCGCUCCAGUAUGAGACCUCCACAGCUUUUGCUGCUCUCCUGCCAUUCUCAGACUCUCCCUUUGCCACAGAAUUCCACUUCUGGCUGCUGCUGUGACCCCACAUCACCAGGAGGCUGCCAGGACCUGCAGAACGUGCUCCAGCCUGCACCUCAUCCCUGCCCAUCCCUGAUCCCUGAUCCCCGCCACGUGCGGGAUCUGCGCAGCCGUGCCAGGGCCUGGCUCGGAGCCACAUCCAGGUCCUGCCACUUGUGACUCAGCCCUGGCAGCAAAACUCUGGAUAUCACCCUUUAAUUGUGCCUGGGGAGCAAACAGGGAAAAAAAAAUAAAUCCCCAUUUCUGUGGCCCCGUGUUCACGUUUUGGGCUCGGCUCCAGGCACGCGAGCGCAGCGGUGUCACCGCCAGGACAGAACGAAGGCAGCUGCCACUCCCAUCCUGUGCUUCACAUCCUGUUUCCACCACAGGCUGCCCAUUACGGAGCCCUUGGCCAAGCCAGCGUCACGUUGGGACAGCAAAGGCAGCAGGGGUGGCUGCUGGUGGCACCAGGGCCCGAGCGGUGCCAUCCCCGCACGAGAGCCGAGCGGGGAAAUGAACGUUAGAGACUGGCACAGCCUGAUAAAUGCUGGAAAUAUCCAUGCAAAGACCUUUUUCCCUCCUGGGUUUCACUCCUGGGCACCAUCAGGGAUCAGAGGAAGUGGAAGAGGAGGGCACAGAGUUGGAAAAGUUGUGUUUGCUGCCUUGUCACCACAGCUGGGACAGAGGUGCAGCUCUGGUGACGUGUUGGCCCUUCGGGGCAUCAUUUCUGCUCUGGUGAACUCCUCAAAAUCGACCUGGAGUUCCCAAAAUCACCACAGAAUCCCAGAAUGUUUGAGCUGCACCUUAAAGACCAUCUCAUCCCACGCCCUCCACAGGCAGUUGGGCAUUUCUAAAUCCGUAGGGAUUGGGAACAGCUUGAUGGGAUCUGCCCAGAAAGUCCCAAAAAAUGGAAGCAGGAGGCGUCAGCAGAGCAGGAAUAUUUGGGAUCUGGGGAAGGAUCUGGGUACAGCCACACACGGUGGCCCCAGGCCAGGCCUGGGAUGGGUUGUCCCUGACACUGGAAUUCCUGGGUUCCUCUUCCCCAUCUCCUGAAGAUUCCCAGGUAAAAUGGGUUUAUCUGAGCCACCUGCACUGGGAUUUAAUGGCUUUCCCCAGAGCAGGCACCGAUGCAACUGGUGACCAACUGGGCCCCACUGGUGUGGUCCCUGCAGGAGGUACAGGCUCAUCCUCCUCCUUGAAUGGGAAAUUUAAUGGAAUAAACCCACAAAUACAUCUGAUAAACACAGCAGGUUGGGACAGCUCUUUUCUCCUUUUUGAAAAUUCCACAAUUCUCUGCAAAUCCCUAAAAAAUGCCUGUGGGCAAAUAAAGAGGAGAAGCUGGAGCAGGGAAUGCACUGCCUGCCUUGGUUCCCACUGGAGGAACUUCAGGAGGGAAGAGGAAGCCUGCCCAGAGCUGGAGAAAGGAAGGAUCCUUCAGAGUUCCUGGUGAUUUCUCCAUUUCAGUGACUUCUGGGAGUGGAAAUGAGGAGCAAAAUGCCCACGGAAAAAUCCAGGAGAGGAUUUAAUGUGCACAGGUCGGGUUAAAUAAUUUGUUAUUAAAUAAAGGCUCUGCUUCUAUUGCC